Molecule: long non-coding RNA, 547 nt
Filed under: Gossypium barbadense (sea-island cotton)
Lineage: Eukaryota; Viridiplantae; Streptophyta; Magnoliopsida; Malvales; Malvaceae
Description: long non-coding RNA (GBAR_LNC018989)
Source: RNAcentral
UUUCCUUUCCCAGGGUUUUGAACCCCACAGCCACCGCUCUCGUGCCUCCCUCACCUCCGAUCAAUGCUUGAAUAACACGGCUAUCGGAGGAACAAUGGCGCCGCCAACAAAAGGCAAAUCACUCUCACCUCUCUUUUUUAUUAUUAUUUAAAAAAAUAUGAAACAAAGAUAGAAAUCGAAAGAAGAAAACUCGAAAAAAAAUCACCUUCAAAUUGCUAUUUGAUUCUCUAUUUUUUUUAUUUUUCCAAUCCUUUUUACAGAUGUAAAAAUCGGCUUUUAUAGUCGAAUGAAAAUACAAAAAUUAUUCAUUUUUUCUUUUAUAUUUUCUCUACUAUUUGCUGUCACUAUUUUGUUUCUUUAUUGUUGUUGUUGUUUGUUUCUAUUGCAGGAGUGGCCGUACGAUGAUGUGGCACGACGCGUGGCUAACGCGCAGAGGGUGGUGCUGGAAGCGAUUAGGCACGUGGCGGCUUAGGCAGAUACAGCUUUAGGGUUUCUCUUUUUUUUGUAAUCGGGUUUUGGUUCGGCUAAUUGGGUUGAGUUUACGGGG